This is a non-coding RNA of Pelobates cultripes (western spadefoot toad), 212 nucleotides long. The record is from the annotation of a GenBank genome assembly. Lineage: Eukaryota; Metazoa; Chordata; Amphibia; Anura; Pelobatidae.
AAAACCCCCACCCCCUUCUACAAAAUCCCUGCAGCCCCACACACACAUUUACAGGCAGACAGUCACACACUCAGUUACAGACAGUCACACACUCAGUUACAGACAGACAGUCACACACUCAGUUACAGGCAGACAGUCACACACAGUCACAGGCAGACAGUCACACAUACACAUUUCCUCCGUGCGGCCAGUUUAUCAGCUGUUUGCUUGAG